UACGGGGGGAGCAAGCGUUGUUCGGAUUUACUGGGCGUAAAGGGCGCGUAGGCGGCGCAACAAGUCACUUGUGAAAUCUCCGGGCUUAACCCGGAGCGGUCAAGUGAUACUGUCGUGCUAGAGUGCGGAAGGGGCAACUGGAAUUCUCGGUGUAGCGGUGAAAUGCGUAGAUAUCGAGAGGAACACCUGCGGCGAAGGCGGGUUGCUGGGCCGACACUGACGCUGAGGCGCGAAAGCUAGGGGAGCGAACAGG
Molecule: ribosomal RNA, 253 nt
Filed under: uncultured bacterium
Lineage: Bacteria
Description: partial 16S ribosomal RNA
Rfam family: Bacterial small subunit ribosomal RNA
Source: RNAcentral